AUUGAACGCUGGCGGCAGGCCUAACACAUGCAAGUCGAGCGGAUGAAGGGAGCUUGCUCCUGGAUCCAGCGGCGGACGGGUGAGUAAUGCCUAGGAAUCUGCCUGGUAGUGGGGGAUAACGUCCGGAAACGGGCGCUAAUACCGCAUACGUCCUGAGGGAGAAAGUGGGGGAUCUUCGGACCUCACGCUAUCAGAUGAGCCUAGGUCGGAUUAGCUAGUUGGUGGGGUAAAGGCCUACCAAGGCGACGAUCCGUAACUGGUCUGAGAGGAUGAUCAGUCACACUGGAACUGAGACACGGUCCAGACUCCUACGGGAGGCAGCAGUGGGGAAUAUUGGACAAUGGGCGAAAGCCUGAUCCAGCCAUGCCGCGUGUGUGAAGAAGGUCUUCGGAUUGUGAAGCACUUUAAGUUGGGAGGAAGGGCAGUAAGUUAAUACCUUGCUGUUUUGACGUUACCAACAGAAUAAGCACCGGCUAACUUCGUG
Molecule: ribosomal RNA, 484 nt
Filed under: uncultured bacterium
Lineage: Bacteria
Description: partial 16S ribosomal RNA
Rfam family: Bacterial small subunit ribosomal RNA
Source: RNAcentral